GCUGCUCUAUAACCACACACUUCUACGCGGUGAGCAGCAGGCAACGAUCUAAUGAUCGGCUGAGAUGUGA
Molecule: ribozyme, 70 nt
Filed under: uncultured Agathobacter sp.
Lineage: Bacteria; Bacillati; Bacillota; Clostridia; Lachnospirales; Lachnospiraceae
Description: HDV ribozyme from F. prausnitzii
Rfam family: HDV ribozyme from F. prausnitzii
Source: RNAcentral